Molecule: unclassified non-coding RNA, 188 nt
Filed under: fungal sp.
Lineage: Eukaryota; Fungi
Description: partial internal transcribed spacer region
Rfam family: Eukaryotic small subunit ribosomal RNA (bases 1-46)
Source: RNAcentral
AAGUCGUAACAAGGUAUCCGUAGGUGAACCUGCGGAUGGAUCAUUAUGGAGCUGGCCUGCAUGUGUGUGGUGCGUUCUGGAGAGUGGGCGGCGCGGCAUAUGCUGCCGCCGCCCGCAGAGACGUGGUGGACGCGGCGCGAUAUCACACCUCAGCGCGACAACUUUUAGCAAUGGAUCUCUUGGCUCUC